UUGCAGCCCUUGGUCGACAGGGUCGCCGGGCACUUGCCCACCUGGAAAGCAUGGCUUAUGAAUAGAGCCGGCAGGCUUGCCCUCGUCAAGUCAGUCCUCUGCGCGAUCCCUGUGCACCAGCUGCUUGCUUUUGCCCCCGCGAAGAAAACUCUGCGGCAGCUCGAGAAGAUUCAACAGGGAUUCUUAUGGGCUGGGCGAGCCGUCACCAACGGUGGUCACUGCCAUGUGAACUGGCGCCUCGUCUCCCGCCCCCUCGAGCUUGGGGGCCUCGGGGUUCGUGACCUCGAGCGCACAGGGCUUGCGCUCAGACUGCGGUGGCUUUGGCUCUCGCGAACUGAUGACGGACGCGCCUGGCAAGGGCUGGAUCUU
Molecule: ribosomal RNA, 369 nt
Filed under: Triticum aestivum (bread wheat)
Lineage: Eukaryota; Viridiplantae; Streptophyta; Magnoliopsida; Poales; Poaceae
Description: partial small subunit ribosomal RNA
Source: RNAcentral